Molecule: long non-coding RNA, 424 nt
Filed under: Capsella grandiflora
Lineage: Eukaryota; Viridiplantae; Streptophyta; Magnoliopsida; Brassicales; Brassicaceae
Description: long non-coding RNA (CGRA_LNC001722)
Source: RNAcentral
GGCGUUGUUGGAGAUGAUGGUUCGACCGUCGCUUGUUGUGACUUUGAAAGACAGAGCUUGUCCGUUUAGGUAAGAGUUGCUCUGCCAGUUUUGUCCCCAGUUUCUUGACAUGGAUUGCCACCCUGUUCUUGAUCCUUUGACCAUCACAGAGUGAACAUCUCCGGCUCCUCCGACGUUAGUAAUCAGAACCAGGUUGAAGUAUGAGUGUCCGUUUAUCGUAAACCUUAUUCCUCCCCUUCUCACGCAUGGCACUCUGUUAAAGCAAACCACAACAUAAUGUAAAACAGAGUAAGAUUCGGAGAAAAAAACAGAGCAGCUCUGUUUCUUGAAAUUCUUUAUUCAGUCACAUACUCUGUUUUGGGAUAAAAACAGAGUAGCUCUCUUUAGUGUAAAAGUAGGAGACUUUGAAGAAAGAUUGUACCUU